CUCGUGUCGUGAGAGUGUUCGGGUUAAGUCCCGUAACGAGCGCAACCCUUGUCCUUAGUUACCAGCACGUUAUGGUGGGCACUCUAAGGAGACUGCCGGUGACAAACCGGAGGAAGGUGGGGAUGACGUCAAGUCAUCAUGGCCCUUACGGCCUGGGCUACACACGUGCUACAAUGGUCGGUACAAAGGGUUGCCAAGCCGCGAGGUGGAGCUAAUCCCAUAAAACCGAUCGUAGUCCGGAUCGCAGUCUGCAACUCGACUGCGUGAAGUCGGAAUCGCUAGUAAUCGUGAAUCAGAAUGUCACGGUGAAUACGUUCCCGGGCCUU
This 326-nucleotide ribosomal RNA is filed under the name uncultured Pseudomonas sp. Its description in RNAcentral is "bacterial SSU rRNA". It matches the Rfam family "Bacterial small subunit ribosomal RNA", at positions 1059 to 1382 of the family's 1533-position model. The record is from RNAcentral. Lineage: Bacteria; Pseudomonadati; Pseudomonadota; Gammaproteobacteria; Pseudomonadales; Pseudomonadaceae.